GUGUUAGUAACCCAUGUUGGUUGGGUGCCUGCCUUCCAAGCAGGAUUUCGCGGGUUCGAUUCCUGUCUAGCACAC
This 75-nucleotide transfer RNA is filed under the name Mycobacterium phage Chaser. RNAcentral's name for it is "tRNA-Gly". It matches the Rfam family "tRNA". Rfam says of the family: Transfer RNA (tRNA) molecules are approximately 80 nucleotides in length. Their secondary structure includes four short double-helical elements and three loops (D, anti-codon, and T loops). Lineage: Duplodnaviria; Heunggongvirae; Uroviricota; Caudoviricetes; Vilmaviridae. The record is from RNAcentral.